UGUCCUACGGGGCGCAGCAGUGGGGAAUAUUGCACAAUGGGGGAAACCCUGAUGCAGCAACGCCGCGUGAGUGAGGAAGUAUUUCGGUAUGUAAAGCUCUAUCAGCAGGGAAUAGAAAAGAAGGUACCUGAAAAAGAAGCCCCGGCUAACUACGUGCCAGCAGCCGCGGUAAUACGUAGGGGGCAAGCGUUAUCCGGAUUUACUGGGUGUAAAGGGAGCGUAGACGGUCCUGCAAGCCAGAUGUGAAAGCCCGGGGCUCAACCCCGAGACUGCAUUUGGAACUGUAAGG
This 289-nucleotide ribosomal RNA is filed under the name uncultured bacterium. RNAcentral's name for it is "partial 16S ribosomal RNA". It matches the Rfam family "Bacterial small subunit ribosomal RNA", at positions 335 to 640 of the family's 1533-position model. The record is from RNAcentral.